RNAcentral lists this ribosomal RNA (351 nucleotides) under uncultured bacterium. RNAcentral describes it as "bacterial SSU rRNA". It matches the Rfam family "Bacterial small subunit ribosomal RNA", at positions 8 to 353 of the family's 1533-position model. The record is from RNAcentral.
AGAGUUUGAUCAUGGCUCAGGACGAACGCUGGCGGCGCGCCUAACACAUGCAAGUCGAACGGAGUCAAGAGGAGCUUGCUUUUCUUGACUUAGUGGCGAACGGUGAGUAACCCGUGAGUAACCUGCCCUGGAGUGGGGGACAACAGUUGGAAACGACUGCUAAUACCGCAUAAGCCCACGGAUUCGCAUGGAUCUGCGGGAAAAGGAUUUAUUCGCUUCAGGAUGGACUCGCGUCCAAUUAGCUAGUUGGUGAGGUAACGGCCCACCAAGGCGACGAUUGGUAGCCGGACUGAGAGGUUGAACGGCCACAUUGGGACUGAGACGCGGCCCAAACUCCUACGGGAGGCAGCA